Molecule: long non-coding RNA, 249 nt
Filed under: Capsella rubella
Lineage: Eukaryota; Viridiplantae; Streptophyta; Magnoliopsida; Brassicales; Brassicaceae
Description: long non-coding RNA (CRUB_LNC001703)
Source: RNAcentral
CAGAAUGAUAGUAAUAACUGAUCAAAGACAACAACAACAAAAAAAAAAGAACAAAAAGGAAAGCUUGGUACUAUAUAUACUAUGAGAAGAGACAAGAGGCCAAUGUAACUACUUACAUAUCAGCGAAUUUUCCGGAGUCUCUACUUUGAAACUGCACUAGAUGUAUCCAUCCGGUCAGUGUGAAAGGGAUGCUAGGCUCAUCAAUAGCCCAUAUAUCACAUGAUCUUUUAACUUUCAGGACAUGGCACG